This 238-nucleotide unclassified non-coding RNA is filed under the name Helotiales sp. RNAcentral's name for it is "partial contains 5.8S ribosomal RNA, internal transcribed spacer 2, and large subunit ribosomal RNA". Lineage: Eukaryota; Fungi; Ascomycota; Leotiomycetes; Helotiales. The record is from RNAcentral.
CGCACAUUGCGCCCUGUGGCAUUCCGCAGGGCAUGCCUGUUCGAACGUCAUUGUAGCCACUCAAGCCCAGCUUGGUAUUGGGGUCCGCUGUACCGGCGGCCUCUAAAAUUAGUGGCGGUGCCUGUAGGCUCUGAGCGUAGUAAAUCUUUUUCGCUACUGAGUCCUAUGGGUUCCCAGCCAGAACCCCCAUAUUCUAUAGGUUGACUUCGGAUCAGGUAGGGAUACCCGCUGAACUUAA